UACGUAGGGUGCAAGCGUGUCCGGAAUUAUUGGGCGUAAAGAGCUCGUAGGCGGUUUGUCGCGUCUGCUGUGAAAACGCGAGGCUCAACCUCGCGCCUGCAGUGGGUACGGGCAGACUAGAGUGCGGUAGGGGGAGAUUGGAAUUCCUGGUGUAGCGGUGGAAUGCGCAGAUAUCAGGAGGAACACCGGUGGCGAAGGCGGGUCUCUGGGCCGUAACUGACGCUGAGGAGCGAAAGCGUGGGGGAGCGAACAGG
RNAcentral lists this ribosomal RNA (254 nucleotides) under uncultured bacterium. Its description in RNAcentral is "partial 16S ribosomal RNA". It matches the Rfam family "Bacterial small subunit ribosomal RNA", at positions 524 to 776 of the family's 1533-position model. The record is from RNAcentral.